GGUGUGAUAAGAAAAAACAAGUUAGACGUUUUCACAGUAAAUUAUAUAGACGAUAUAUUAGUGUUCUCUAAGACUUACGAAGAGCAUGUAUAUCAUGUAGAGCAAGUACUGCAAAUACUAUAUAAAUAAGGUUUUAAAUUGAAUAAAAAUAAAUGUAAGUUCGCCCAAGAAAAGAUAACAUAUUUGGGACACGAAAUUGGAAGCAAUAUGAUUAAACCAAUAAAUGAUAAUUUAGUGGCUAUCAAGAAGUUUUCCACACCCAAAACAAAAACACAAGUUAGACAAUUUUUAGGGAAGAUCAAUUUUUAUUUGGAGUUUAUACCAAAUCAUGUUGUCUUAUUAGAUCCUUUGAGAAAUCUGUUAAGAAAGAAUGUACCCCUCGAUUGGACCGAAGAGUGUAGGAAUAGUUUUAAUUCGACAAAAGAAUAUUUGUGCACAGCUCCCGCUUUGGCAAUUUUUGAUCCAGAGGCCCCAAUAUUUAUCUUCACUGAUGCAAGCAUUGAAGGAGUUGGAGCAAUAUUGAAGUAACAACAGGAAAAUAGCUUUUAAAAAUUCAAAAGAAAUUCACAAUCGAAAUAAGGAAUAUUACAAUAAGAACGUAAAACAGAUAGAUUAUAAAGUAGGAGAUUUAGUUUAUGUACAAAGCGUUAAUAAAUUGAACAAAAAUAAAAUAGAUCCAAUUAGAGUAGGUCCGUUUAAAAUUAAAGAGAAAAUUUCUGAUGUAAUGUUUUUGUUAGAUAGUAGAUUUAGAAAAAAGGAGUCAAAUAUUUUUCAUGCUAGCAAGCUUGUUCAUCAAUCCCAAGGAGUGUAUCCCCGGUCUUAAAAAGGGGGGGAUGUAAGCUUGUUGGUUAUCAAGCUCGACCUUGCCGCGGCUUGUAGACUCGCGCAUGAGAGGCAGUAGGUAACAAGACUCCGAGCUGAGAGUAUCGAUGAUAUCGUACGGAGAUAGAUAAAGGUUUGCCAUCGACAAUUGUAUUGAUUCAGUUGUUUACUGCAUCAUGCGUGUUGAUUCUUAAACCGAACCCUCGCUCCAUUGAAGUUCCAUAAAUCGAGCACUUACAUAUAUUUGAAAUUUUUAAUAUAUAUAAAUAAAUUUAAAAAAAAUUAUUUAUUGACAAAUUGGAGAGGAAUUAAUUUUGAAAGUAGAUAUACGUAUAUGCGUUUCAUGAAAAUCAAGUAUUACUAUAAUCUAUAACGUUUAUAAUUUGUUCUUUGAAUAAUUUAUAUAUUGGUUUUGAAUUUGGCUAUAUAUAUAUAUCACUGUUUUGACUAUAUAUAUAUCGCAUCAUGGCGCUUGCAUCGAUGCUUCUACCCUAAGCUGACAAGUAAACAAUAAAUACGUGUACGGUCCAUUGCGAUGAUACCAAAGUGUGACGCAGAGUGUCGAAAUGCGUAUAUCAUCUGUAGUAUUUUAUUAUAUCUGAGACUUUGUAUUUCAGAUUUCGUAUUUGAUUAAUAUCAUUGAUAUUUGUGCUUUCAUAACAAGUUUGUUAUAUCACAAAAGAUUAUAUUAAGAGUGUCUGUAUCUAACCCGUUUGAGGAAUCAUAAGUGCCAAAAAUAAAAAUACGAGAGAAGAAAAAAUA
Molecule: long non-coding RNA, 1584 nt
Organism: Nylanderia fulva
Lineage: Eukaryota; Metazoa; Arthropoda; Insecta; Hymenoptera; Formicidae
Source: RefSeq, a predicted model, not a curated record